Molecule: long non-coding RNA, 1281 nt
Filed under: Homo sapiens (human)
Lineage: Eukaryota; Metazoa; Chordata; Mammalia; Primates; Hominidae
Description: HSALNT0224863
Source: RNAcentral
UCUGUUGCCUAUGUUAGGUCAGCCUUCAAACAUUUACUGUGUUAUGUUGACCUAUGGAUCGUGUAUUCCUUCCAGGGACCAGUUUUAGACCUGGACAAUGAUCUACAACUUAGUUCAUUUCUUAAAGCCAUUGUUAAGUUAUUUGAAGUUAGCUCCAUGCAUGCAUAGUUCAGUGACGGGCCCAGGACAGCAUACACAUUUGUUUGUGGUCCAUUUCUCAAACUCCUUCCUCUUCAUGACUUCUUCAACACCCUUCAGCUCCCUAGGACCCCUUUUCCUGAUUCUCAGGCUAGAAAGUUGAGGCGUUUGCCUUCCAGGCCUGUCAUGCAUUUCUUGUGUCUGGAUGUGGUUCUAAGUAAAGCAGCAAGGAGAGAGAGAGAGAGAGAGAGAGAGAGAAAGGACCAGGAUUCCCUCCUUCCUUUUCAUCCCUCUGGUUAGAAAAAAGGAUUUUCUUUCAGAGUUUCAGGUGCCUUCGUGGCUGCUGCUGCUGUCAUGGGAGUGCAGUCUUACAACAUUUGCCUGGGGCAGGAGACAGAGAAAGAAAAAAACAGUGGAUUUCCUCCUCUCUCUCCAUUCCUCAGGGGCCCCUUUCCUGGUCUUGUGACCAUAGAGGGAUGGUUUCUCCUGGGCACUUCUCCCUAUAUGCCUGCUGAGCAGUUCUGGGAUUUGGGUGUCCUGAGUCUAAGCUGGGAGAUGUGGGAGGAAAGAAAAGCUGGUGAACUCAUUGCCACCUCCAUGUUUCUCUGAAUGUUAUCUCUCUCUCCAUCUGCUUGCCGUGGUUUUCUUUCUAGACACCUCUGAUGAUUGCUGCAUGUAUUCUGCCCAGGGUUUUUGGCUGUGAUCACUGGGAGAGAUAGAAGGGACUGUAUUUGCUCCAUCUUACCCAGCUCUGCAAACCUGCUGGAGAGUUUAAUUGGCAUAUGACUUCUAUCCUCAAAGUCACAAGAUGGCUGCUGGAGUUCCAGUCAGGAUGUCUGUACAUCUCUUUCAGGUUGGCGCAGUGGCUCACACCUGUAAUCCCAGCACUUUGGGAGGCCGAGGCAGGCGGAUCACCUGAGGUCCGGAGUUAGAAACCAGCCUGACCAACGUGGAGAAACCCCGUCUCUAAUAAAAAUACAAAAUGAGCUGGGCGUGGAGGUGCAUGCCUGUAAUCCCAGCUACUCAGGAGGCUGAGGCAGGAGAAUCGCUUGAACCCAGAAGGUGGAGGUUGCAGUGAGCGGAGAUCACGCCAUUGCAAUCUGGGCAACAAGAGCGAAGCUCUGUCUCAAAAAAAAAAAAAAA